Long non-coding RNA from Tripterygium wilfordii, 365 nucleotides. RefSeq lists it as uncharacterized. The transcript has 2 exons. Lineage: Eukaryota; Viridiplantae; Streptophyta; Magnoliopsida; Celastrales; Celastraceae. The record is from RefSeq and is a predicted model, not a curated record.
CAGGAAACUACUUUCCAUUUUGCCUUUGCACCAUGAGGUGCGCUACUCCCACGUCCCACGUUCCAUACUCCUGACUUUGCAUGGAUGUGGCACACAUCAGAAUGCAACAGCUAAGCAAGUGUACAUAUAUAACCAAUAAGAGCUAACCAAAAGAUAAGCAAAGCAGGAUCUCCAACCAAGUGGGAGAGAGAGAAGGGCACAAGGGAAUAUAGAAAAUUAGAAACUGCACCAAAAGGAAAGCCAAGUUGAAGUACAUGGAGUGAUAUUCACAAUGAGAAGGUCAUUUAUGGGAGUUGCCUCUAGCUCUAAACAAUGACUACGUUUAAAGAAGCUUAAAAAUACUACAUAAAAGCGAAAGAAAAAAA